UAGGGAAUCUUCCGCAAUGGACGCAAGUCUGACGGAGCAACGCCGCGUGAGUGAAGAAGGAUUUCGGUUCGUAAAACUCUGUUGUUAGAGAAGAACAGCGCAUAGAGUAACUGUUAUGCGUGUGACGGUAUCUAACCAGAAAGCCACGGCUAACUACGUGCCAGCAGCCGCGGUAAUACGUAGGUGGCAAGCGUUGUCCGGAUUUAUUGGGCGUAAAGCGAGCGCAGGCGGUCAAUUAAGUCUGAUGUGAAAGCCCCCGGCUCAACCGGGGAGGGGCAUUGGAAACUGGUUGACUGGAGUGCAGAAGAGGAGAGUGGAAUUCCAUGUGUAGCGGUGAAAUGCGUAGAUAUAUGGAGGAACACCAGUGGCGAAGGCGACUCUCUGGUCUGUAACUGACGCUGAGGCUCGAAAGCGUGGGUAGCAAACAGG
This 429-nucleotide ribosomal RNA is filed under the name Bacteroidota bacterium. RNAcentral describes it as "Bacteroidetes bacterium partial 16S ribosomal RNA". It matches the Rfam family "Bacterial small subunit ribosomal RNA", at positions 355 to 776 of the family's 1533-position model. The record is from RNAcentral. Lineage: Bacteria; Pseudomonadati; Bacteroidota.